AUGCACGCUGGCGGCGUGCCUCAUACCUGCAAGUCGAGCGAACAGACGAGGAGCUUGCUCCUCUGACGUUAGCGGCGGACGGGUGAGUAACACGUGGAUAACCUACCUAUAAGUCUGGGAUAACUUCGGGAAACCGGAGCUAAUACCGGCUACUAUCUUGAACCGCAUGGUUCAAUAGUGAAAGACGGUUUUGCUGUCACUUAUAGAUGGAUCCGCGCCGCAUUAGCUAGUUGGUAAGGUAACGGCUUACCAAGGCAACGAUGCGUAGCCGACCUGAGAGGGUGAUCGGCCACACUGGAACUGAGACACGGUCCAGACUCCUACGGGAGGCAGCAGUAGGGAAUCUUCCGCAAUGGGCGAAAGCCUGACGGAGCAACGCCGCGUGAGUGAUGAAGGUCUUCGGAUCGUAAAACUCUGUUAUUAGGGAAGAACAAAUGUGUAAGUAACUAUGCACGUCUUGACGGUACCUAAUCAGAAAGCCACGGCUAACUACGUG
This 496-nucleotide ribosomal RNA is filed under the name uncultured bacterium. RNAcentral describes it as "partial 16S ribosomal RNA". It matches the Rfam family "Bacterial small subunit ribosomal RNA", at positions 29 to 507 of the family's 1533-position model. The record is from RNAcentral.